This 496-nucleotide ribosomal RNA is filed under the name uncultured bacterium. RNAcentral describes it as "partial 16S ribosomal RNA". It matches the Rfam family "Bacterial small subunit ribosomal RNA", at positions 28 to 506 of the family's 1533-position model. The record is from RNAcentral.
GAUGAACGCUGGCGGCGUGCCUAAUACAUGCAAGUCGAGCGAACAGACGAGGAGCUUGCUCCUCUGACGUUAGCGGCGGACGGGUGAGUAACACGUGGAUAACCUACCUAUAAGACUGGGAUAACUUCGGGAAACCGGAGCUAAUACCGGAUAAUAUAUUGAACCGCAUGGUUCAAUAGUGAAAGACGGUUUUGCUGUGACUUAUAGAUGGAUCCGCGCCGCAUUAGCUAGUUGGUAAGGUAACGGCUUACCAAGGCAACGAUGCGUAGCCGACCUGAGAGGGUGAUCGGCCACACUGGAACUGAGACGCGGUCCAGACUCCUACGGGAGGCAGCAGUAGGGAAUCUACCGCAAUGGGCGAAAGCUUGACGGAGCAACGCCGCGUGAGUGAUGAAGGUCUUCGGAUCGUAAAACUCUGUUAUUAGGGAAGAACAAAUGUGUAAGUAACGAUGCACGUCUGGACGGUACCUAAUCAGAAAGCCACGGCUAACUACGU